Molecule: ribosomal RNA, 467 nt
Filed under: uncultured bacterium
Lineage: Bacteria
Description: SSU rRNA
Rfam family: Bacterial small subunit ribosomal RNA
Source: RNAcentral
AGGACGAACGCUGGCGGCGUGCCUAAAACAUGCAAGUCGAACGGUUCUAGCAAUAGGACAGUGGCGAACGGCGGAGUAAUACGUGAACAACGUGCCCUAAAGACCGGGAUAGUCAUUGGAAACGAUGGGUAAUACCGGAUGUGGUGGUUGGAUCUCCUGAUCUGACCAUUAAAUGGUUUUUCGCUUUAGGAGCGGUUCACGGCCUAUCAGGUAGUUGGUGGGGUAAUGGCCUACCAAGCCGACGACGGGUAGCGGGUCUGAGAGGAUGAUCCGCUCGAGUGGGACUGAGACACGGCCCACACACCUACGGGUGGCAGCAGUUGGGAAUCUUGCACAAUGGGGGGAACCCUGAUGCAGCGACGCCGCGUGGAGGAUGAAGGGUCUAGGCCUGUAAACUCCUUUUUUCGGGAAAGACUUAGGACGGUACCCGAAGAAUAAGCACCGGCUAACUACGCGCCAGCAGCCGC